UACUCCUACGGGAGGCAGCAGUGGGGAAUAUUGGACAAUGGGCGCAAGCCUGAUCCAGCAAUGCCGCGUGUGUGAAGAAGGCCUUCGGGUUGUAAAGCACUUUAGCCUGGAAAGAAAACGCUUUGGCUAACAUCCAAAGUCUUGACGGUACCAGGAGAAUAAGCACCGGCUAACUCUGUGCCAGCAGCCGCGGUAAUACAGAGGGUGCAAGCGUUAAUCGGAUUUACUGGGCGUAAAGCGUGUGUAGGUGGUGAUUUAAGUCGGAUGUGAAAGCCCCGGGCUCAACCUGGGAACUGCAUUCAAAACUGACUAGCUAGAGUAUGGUAGAGGGUGGUGGAAUUUCCUGUGUAGCGGUGAAAUGCGUAGAUAUAGGAAGGAACACCAGUGGCGAAGGCGACCACCUGGACUGAUACUGA
Molecule: ribosomal RNA, 416 nt
Filed under: uncultured bacterium
Lineage: Bacteria
Description: bacterial SSU rRNA
Rfam family: Bacterial small subunit ribosomal RNA
Source: RNAcentral